GCCCGGCUAGCUCAAUCGGUAGAGCGUGAGUAGAGCGUGAGACUCUUACGGAAUCCUCCAGUGGUUCCAGGCAUCUCAAGGUUGGGGGUUCGACCCCCCCGUCGGGCU
Molecule: non-coding RNA, 108 nt
Organism: Lasiosphaeria hispida
Lineage: Eukaryota; Fungi; Ascomycota; Sordariomycetes; Sordariales; Lasiosphaeriaceae
Source: the annotation of a GenBank genome assembly